UGGUGCUGGCCCUUUGAUGCUGCUCGAGUCCUUGACCCUCUGAGCCUCAGUUUUCAAGAUCUGUGAAGGUGGUUAUGACCACC
This is a non-coding RNA of Eptesicus fuscus (big brown bat), 83 nucleotides long. NCBI's taxonomy places the organism in Eukaryota, Metazoa, Chordata, Mammalia, Chiroptera, Vespertilionidae. The record is from RefSeq and is marked provisional.